RNAcentral lists this ribosomal RNA (468 nucleotides) under uncultured bacterium. RNAcentral's name for it is "partial 16S ribosomal RNA". It matches the Rfam family "Bacterial small subunit ribosomal RNA", at positions 28 to 507 of the family's 1533-position model. The record is from RNAcentral.
GACGAACGCUGGCGGCGUGCUUAACACAUGCAAGUCGAACGGAAAGGCCCUGCUUUUGCGGGGUGCUCGAGUGGCGAACGGGUGAGUAAAACGUGAGUAACCUGCCCUUGUCUUUGGGAUAACUUCAGGAAACUGGGGCUAAUACAGGAUAGGAGCUCCUGCUGCACGGUGGGGGUUGGAAAGUUUCGGCGGUUGGGGAUGGACUCGCGGCUUAUCAGCUUGUUGGUGGGGUAGUGGCUUACCAAGGCUUUGACGGGUAGCCGGCCUGAGAGGGUGAACGGCCACAUUGGGACUGAGAGACGGCCCAGUCGCCUACGUGAGGCAGCAGUGGGGAAUAUGGCACAGUGGGCGGAAGCCUGAUGCAGCAACGCCGCGUGCGGGAUGACGGCCUUCGAGUUGUAAACCGCUUUCGCCUGUGACGAAGCGUGAGUGACGGUAAUGGGUAAAGAAGCACCGGCUAACUACGUG